RNAcentral lists this transfer RNA (87 nucleotides) under Candidatus Thorarchaeota archaeon. RNAcentral's name for it is "tRNA-Ser". It matches the Rfam family "tRNA". From Rfam's summary of the family: Transfer RNA (tRNA) molecules are approximately 80 nucleotides in length. Their secondary structure includes four short double-helical elements and three loops (D, anti-codon, and T loops). Further hydrogen bonds mediate the characteristic L-shaped molecular structure. tRNAs have two regions of fundamental functional importance: the anti-codon, which is responsible for specific mRNA codon recognition, and the 3' end, to which the tRNAs corresponding amino acid is attached (by aminoacyl-tRNA synthetases). tRNAs cope with the degeneracy of the genetic code in two manners: having more than one tRNA (with a specific anti-codon) for a particular amino acid; and 'wobble' base-pairing, i.e. permitting non-standard base-pairing at the 3rd anti-codon position. The record is from RNAcentral. Lineage: Archaea; Promethearchaeati; Candidatus Thorarchaeota.
GCCCAGGUAGCCAAGCGGUCACGGCGGUAGCCUGGAGAGCUACUCUCCUUCUAGGAGACACGAGUUCGAAUCUCGCCCUGGGCGCCA